AACGUAGGACACAAGCGUUAUCCGGAGUUACUGGGCGUAAAGGGCGUUUAGGCGGGUGAUUAAGUUCGCUAUGAAAGCGCCAGGCUAAACCUGGUGAGGCUGGCGGAUACUGGUCAUCUGGAGUGAGUCAGAGGAAGGUAGAAUUCCGCGUGUAGUGGUGAAAUGCGUAGAGAUGCGGAGGAAUACCAGUGGCGAAGGCGGCCUUCUGGGACUCAACUGACGCUGAAGCGCGAAAGCAUGGGGAGCGAACGGG
This 253-nucleotide ribosomal RNA is filed under the name uncultured bacterium. Its description in RNAcentral is "partial 16S ribosomal RNA". It matches the Rfam family "Bacterial small subunit ribosomal RNA", at positions 524 to 776 of the family's 1533-position model. The record is from RNAcentral.